Small nuclear RNA from Callithrix jacchus (white-tufted-ear marmoset), 185 nucleotides. Its record names the gene U2. It matches the Rfam family "U2 spliceosomal RNA". From Rfam's summary of the family: U2 is a small nuclear RNA (snRNA) component of the spliceosome (involved in pre-mRNA splicing). Complementary binding between U2 snRNA (in an area lying towards the 5' end but 3' to hairpin I) and the branchpoint sequence (BPS) of the intron results the bulging out of an unpaired adenosine, on the BPS, which initiates a nucleophilic attack at the intronic 5' splice site, thus starting the first of two transesterification reactions that mediate splicing. The record is from Ensembl. NCBI's taxonomy places the organism in Eukaryota, Metazoa, Chordata, Mammalia, Primates, Cebidae.
AUCACUUCUCGGCCUUUUGGCUAAGAUCAAGUGUAAAAUCACCUUUGGAGAGGUUUAAAACAAACUCCAGGGCCUCUGGAGGCCCUCAUUCAGUAGGUUUGGGGCAGGGAGAGCCUUGACAUGUUUAAUGAGCCUUGGGAUGAUUCUGAUGUUUCCUUGCACCAGUGGAGCAGGAGUUACUCUUC